UCCCGUAACGAGCGCAACCCUUGCCUUAGUUACCAGCACGUUAUGGUGGGCACUCGUAAGGAGACUGCCGGUGACAAACCGGAGGAAGUGGGGAUGACGUCAAGUCAUCAUGGCCCUUACGGCCUGGGCUACACACGUGCUACAAUGGUCGGUACAAAGGGUUGCCAAGCCGCGAGGUGGAGCUAAUCCCAUAGAACCGAUCGUAGUCCGGAUCGCAGUCUGCAACUCGACUGCGUGAAGUCGGAAUCGCUAGUAAUCGUGAAUCAGAAUGUCACGGUGAAUACGUUCCCGGGCCUU
Molecule: ribosomal RNA, 297 nt
Filed under: uncultured Pseudomonas sp.
Lineage: Bacteria; Pseudomonadati; Pseudomonadota; Gammaproteobacteria; Pseudomonadales; Pseudomonadaceae
Description: partial 16S ribosomal RNA
Rfam family: Bacterial small subunit ribosomal RNA
Source: RNAcentral